AGCAGUAGCCACGGUAAUACGUAGGGUGCAAGCGUUAAUCGGAAUACUGGGCGUAAAGCGUGCGCAGGCGGUUCGCUAAGACAGAUGUGAAAUCCCCGGGCUUAACCUGGGAACUGCAUUUGUGACUGGCGGGCUAGAGUAUGGCAGAGGGGGGUAGAAUUCCACGUGUAGCAGUGAAAUGCGUAGAGAUGUGGAGGAAUACUGAUGGCGAAGGCAGCCCCCUGGGCCAAUACUGACGCUCAUGCACGAAAGCGUGGGGAGCAAACAGGAUUAGAUACCCGGGUAGUCCCUGUCUCUUAUACA
RNAcentral lists this ribosomal RNA (303 nucleotides) under uncultured bacterium. RNAcentral describes it as "partial 16S ribosomal RNA". It matches the Rfam family "Bacterial small subunit ribosomal RNA", at positions 507 to 808 of the family's 1533-position model. The record is from RNAcentral.